GACGAACGCUGGCGGCGUGCCUAAUACAUGCGAGUAGAACGCACAGUUUAUACCGUAGCUUGCUACACCAUAAACUGUGAGUUGCGAACGGGUGAGUAACGCGUAGGUAACCUGCCUGGUAGCGGGGGAUAACUAUUGGAAACGAUAGCUAAUACCGCAUAAUAUUGAUUAUUGCAUGAUAAUUGAUUGAAAGAUGCUAUUGCAUCACUACCAGAUGGACCUGCGUUGUAUUAGCUAGUAGGUGAGGUAACGGCUCACCUAGGCGACGAUACAUAGCCGACCUGAGAGGGUGAUCGGCCACACUGGGACUGAGACACGGCCCAGACUCCUACGGGAGGCAGCAGUAGGGAAUCUUCGGCAAUGGACGAAAGUCUGACCGAGCAACGCCGCGUGAGUGAAGAAGGUUUUCGGAUCGUAAAGCUCUGUUGUAAGAGAAGAACGGGUGUGAGAGUGGAAAGUUCACACUGUGACGGUAUCUUACCAGAAAGGGACGGCUAACUACGUG
RNAcentral lists this ribosomal RNA (505 nucleotides) under uncultured bacterium. RNAcentral describes it as "partial 16S ribosomal RNA". It matches the Rfam family "Bacterial small subunit ribosomal RNA", at positions 28 to 507 of the family's 1533-position model. The record is from RNAcentral.